RNAcentral lists this ribosomal RNA (253 nucleotides) under uncultured bacterium. RNAcentral's name for it is "partial 16S ribosomal RNA". It matches the Rfam family "Bacterial small subunit ribosomal RNA", at positions 524 to 776 of the family's 1533-position model. The record is from RNAcentral.
UACGGAGGGAGCUAGCGUUGUUCGGAAUUACUGGGCGUAAAGCGCACGUAGGCGGCUAUUUAAGUCGGAGGUGAAAGCCUGGAGCUCAACUCCAGAACUGCCUUCGAUACUGGAUGGCUUGAAUUCGGGAGAGGAUAGCGGAAUUCCCAGUGUAGAGGUGAAAUUCGUAGAUAUUGGGAAGAACACCGGUGGCGAAGGCGGCUUCCUGGCCCAAUACUGACGUUCAGGUACGAAAGCGUGGGUAGCAAACAGG